This 671-nucleotide long non-coding RNA is filed under the name Olea europaea subsp. europaea. Lineage: Eukaryota; Viridiplantae; Streptophyta; Magnoliopsida; Lamiales; Oleaceae. The record is from RNAcentral.
CCGUCACCGGCCACGGUCGAAUCUCUCUCUUCUCUCUUUUCCCUCUCUUUCCCAGCUUUCCUCCCGAACUCUCUGUCUCCUUAUCUCCUUACACUCAAGGACAAAUACUUGAAAGAAAUCUGCCGGUGAGAACUAUUGUCAAACACCUUGACGGAAAUCUAAGAACCGCUAAUGUACAAAUGCAAAACCGUCGAGAAUUGGAUUCCGUGAGUUGUUUUGAUGGAGCCCGUAGUUCAAAUCAUUCGCCAGCAUAGUCCACAUUGGAUUCCACCCACCGGUUACUCAUUGACGAGCUCUUCUCUCAGGUACUAAUCGAUUUCUGCCCUCUCUAGGGUUUCAAUUUUCAGCAUAUCACCUCAUUUAUUGGAAUUUUCUUUAUUCAAUUGAUAGGCUGAAGCACAAGGGGCGAUAAUUUGAGACGUCUCGAUUCUGUGUGAUUUAGCAGAAGUUUUGUGUAGUGCCCAAGAGGGCGGAAAUGAAAGACAGUGAGACAGAGAGUUCAGGAGGAAAGCUAGGAAAGGGAGGGAAAAGAGAGAGGAGAGAGAUCCGACCGUGGCCGGUGGUUGGUAGGCUGGGAGAAGAUGAAGAUAUACAGUAAUUUUUUAAUUUUUGCUUUUUCUAACAUAAUUUUUAACUUAUUUUAAUUUAGUAAAUGGAAAGUUACUAGUUUA